Molecule: unclassified non-coding RNA, 319 nt
Filed under: Hevea brasiliensis (rubber tree)
Lineage: Eukaryota; Viridiplantae; Streptophyta; Magnoliopsida; Malpighiales; Euphorbiaceae
Source: RNAcentral
AGAUGCAAGCUGAGCUCAUUAAACAAAUCAAACAUCUGCCCCAGAUCGGCCGCGUUGCCAUGGGAGUAGAGCAGAGUCAAUGAAGCAGCAGGGUUCUUAAAAUACACCGCCACCACCUGAUUCCCUCUCUUGGUAUCCAGCUUCAAAACAUCGACAUUUUCUCUCGUCCCCACCUCCACCAUCAUCAACUUCCCACUCGACUCGUCCAUCUCCACCUGGUAAGAAGGCGGACUCGGCGGAAAAAAUGCGAACUUCGCCGCCAUCGUUGACGUAACGGCCCCCAUCCUCAAAAAAACACAAAAUGCCAAUCCAAAUCACC